Molecule: non-coding RNA, 73 nt
Filed under: uncultured Ruminococcus sp.
Lineage: Bacteria; Bacillati; Bacillota; Clostridia; Eubacteriales; Oscillospiraceae
Description: Cyclic di-GMP-I riboswitch
Rfam family: c-di-GMP-I riboswitch aptamer
About the family: GEMM was predicted in a large-scale screen for bacterial structured RNA regulatory elements. Genes associated with GEMM are involved in a diverse array of functions, including chemotaxis regulation, signal transduction, secretion and chitin.
Source: RNAcentral
UGGCAAAGCUGUUGAAAGACAGUGACGCAAAGCUUUAGUGUCUAAGGUAUUACUACUAUGAUUGACUGGCUGC